Molecule: ribosomal RNA, 478 nt
Filed under: uncultured bacterium
Lineage: Bacteria
Description: partial 16S ribosomal RNA
Rfam family: Bacterial small subunit ribosomal RNA
Source: RNAcentral
GACGAACGCUGGCGGCGUGCUUAACACAUGCAAGUCGAACGGUAAGGCCCUUCGGGGUACACGAGUGGCGAACGGGUGAGUGACACGUGGGUGAUCUGCCCUGCACUUCGGGAUAAGCCUGGGAAACUGGGUCUAAUACCGGAUAGGACCACUGCCUGCAUGGGUGGUGGUGGAAAGCUUUUGUGGUGUGGGAUGGGCCCGCGGCCUAUCAGCUUGUUGGUGGGGUAAUGGCCGACCAAGGCGACGACGGGUAGCCGGCCUGAGAGGGUGACCGGCCACACUGGGACUGAGAUACGGCCCAGACUCCUACGGGAGGCAGCAGUGGGGAAUAUUGCACAAUGGGCGCAAGCCUGAUGCAGCGACGCCGCGUGAGGGAUGACGGCCUUCGGGUUGUAAACCUCUUUCAGUAGGGACGAAGCGCAAGUGACGGUACCUACAGAAGAAGGACCGGCCAACUACGUGCCAGCCGCCGCAGUAA